This 916-nucleotide ribosomal RNA is filed under the name uncultured bacterium. RNAcentral describes it as "bacterial SSU rRNA". It matches the Rfam family "Bacterial small subunit ribosomal RNA", at positions 246 to 1155 of the family's 1533-position model. The record is from RNAcentral.
UUGUUGGUAAGGUAAAAGCUUACCAAGGCUUCGAUCAGUAGCUGGUCUGAGAGGACGACCAGCCACACUGGGACUGAGACACGGCCCAGACUCCUACGGGAGGCAGCAGUGGGGAAUUUUGGACAAUGGGGGCAACCCUGAUCCAGCCAUGCCGCGUGAGUGAAGAAGGCCUUCGGGUUGUAAAGCUCUUUCAGCCGGAACGAAACGGUUACGGUUAAUACCCGUGACUACUGACGGUACCGGAAGAAGAAGCACCGGCUAACUACGUGCCAGCAGCCGCGGUAAUACGUAGGGUGCGAGCGUUAAUCGGAAUUACUGGGCGUAAAGCGUGCGCAGGUGGUUUUGUAAGUCAGAUGUGAAAGCCCCGGGCUCAACCUGGGAACUGCGUUUGAAACUACAAGACUAGAGUGUGGCAGAGGGGGGUGGAAUUCCGCGUGUAGCAGUGAAAUGCGUAGAGAUGUGGAGGAACACCGAUGGCGAAGGCAGCCCCCUGGGUCAACACUGACGCUCAGGCACGAAAGCAUGGGGAGCAAACAGGAUUAGAUACCCUGGUAGUCCAUGCCCUAAACGAUGUCAACUAGUUGUCGGGCCUUUACGGGCUUGGUAACGCAGCUAACGCGUGAAGUUGACCGCCUGGGGAGUACGAUCGCAAGAUUAAAACUCAAAUGAAUUGACGGGGACCCGCACAAGCGGUGGAUUAUGUGGAUUAAUUCGAUGCAACGCGAAAAACCUUACCUACCCUUGACAUGUAUCGAAGCCCGCAGAAAAGCGGGGGUGCCCGAAAGGGAACGAUAACACAGGUGCUGCAUGGCUGUCGUCAGCUCGUGUCGUGAGAUGUUGGGUUAAGUCCCGCAACGAGCGCAACCCUUGUCAUUAAUUGCCAUCAUUUAGUUGGGCACUUUAAUGAGACUGCCGG